GAUGAAGAACGUAGCGAAAUGCGAUAAGUAAUGUGAAUUGCAGAAUUCAGUGAAUCAUCGAGUCUUUGAACGCACAUUGCGCCCCCUGGUAUUCCGGGGGGCAUGCCUGUCCGAGCGUCAUUGCUGCCCUCAAGCACGGCUUGUGUGUUGGGCCCCCGUCCCCGGUUUCCCCCGGGGACGGGCCCGAAAGGCAGCGGCGGCACCGCGUCCGGUCCUCGAGCGUAUGGGGCUUUGUCACCCGCUCUGUAGGCCCGGCCGGCGCCAGCCGACACCCAACUUUAUUUCUAAGGUUGACCUCGGAUCAGGUAGGGAUACCCGCUGAGCUUAAGCAUAUUAAUAAGCGGAGGA
This 348-nucleotide unclassified non-coding RNA is filed under the name soil metagenome. Its description in RNAcentral is "partial contains 5.8S ribosomal RNA, internal transcribed spacer 2, and large subunit ribosomal RNA". The stretch from base 1 to 120 matches the Rfam family "5.8S ribosomal RNA", at positions 35 to 154 of the family's 154-position model. The record is from RNAcentral.